UCAUCUAUAAAGCAGAUUUGGUCUAUACUUACCAAGUACGACAAAAUUUAAGAUAUUCCUCCAUGCCAUCAUCCUCAUGAAAUGCUUUAUUUUCACGCAGUAACCUUAGGGAGGGUAUAUUGUUAUCAAUUCAUCUAGUUUUUAUCCUUCUUGAUUAUCUACUUAAUGUUAUCUUUCUCAAAAUCAUACAAAUUUUUAGUUCCUGCUGGCUUUCAUUCUUCCUUUGGUUGUUCAUUUGAUAUUUUAUUGAGCUGAUAUUCUUUUAGAUCCUGAGUGCAUUGGACUGGUAGUUCUGGUGUUUGAAUCUAUUUUUUGUUUGCAAUCAUUCUAUUUGUCUUUAUGUUGCUGUUUAUGUAUGGAGAUCUCUCUAUCUAGUAUCUAGACAAGCAUGCUUGUUUUGCAACAACCAAUCGUAUACAAACUUGUGAAAUAACAUUGGAAAGGGUUUUGGGAGUUGUUAUCUGUAAAUUUAUGAAGGCUUUUUUAAUCCGAUCUCAUUAUUUUUAGAAAAUUAUAUGGGUCUCUCAUGUCAUCUAUAAGGCAGAUUUGGUC
Molecule: unclassified non-coding RNA, 552 nt
Filed under: Hevea brasiliensis (rubber tree)
Lineage: Eukaryota; Viridiplantae; Streptophyta; Magnoliopsida; Malpighiales; Euphorbiaceae
Source: RNAcentral